GCCUUGGUGCUGAGUACUCCU
Molecule: non-coding RNA, 21 nt
Filed under: Arabidopsis thaliana (thale cress)
Lineage: Eukaryota; Viridiplantae; Streptophyta; Magnoliopsida; Brassicales; Brassicaceae
Source: RNAcentral